AGGGAUCCUUAUCUACUGUCUCUGUAUCUUGAAUAGGAGUCUAUCAGAAAUAGUCUCUCUACUUCUUCGGAAGUAAUGAUAUGGACUGCGUAUAUUUUAUAUUUCUCAGACCCCACUUGAUGGGAACUUACGAGGUAUGUUGUUGAAUUAAUUAAGUAGGAAUAUUAUAAGAGGAGCUAAUUGUUUCAAAAUAUAUCCUCCCAAAUUUUUAGCAUUUAUUUUAGGUAAUAUAAUAUUUGGAUCAAAUCAAUUGCUCUAAAUUUUUCUUACAAAACCAGAACUCCCAAGCUUGAAGAUUUCACCAAAAUCCUCACCCUCUUGCCAAUUGUGUUUUUUUCCCACUUAACAGAGGGAUUUUAUAUUUUUGGCAAACUUAAAAAUAAAGAAAAGGUAUUUUAGUGUGUGUUUGACCAUGAGAAUUUUUUUCUCAUUUUUUAAAUUCUUUUUCAUUUUAUUUCAAAUACAACUCCAACUUGAUGAACAUUUCAAAUACAAAUUGAAUUCAUACUUGAAAAAGUGAAAAUAAGUUUCAAGUUACAUUUAAAACUUAUUUUCACUUUCUUUACUUCCACUUCUCUCACAAAACUCAAUAACUAACUCCAAUUCAUAUUCAUAAACUUCAAACUCCAUAUCUUUUUCAUGUUUUAUGUAAUUCUGUCCACGUAAUUUUCGCAGGUCGGCAAAAUCAACCUUAUAUAUAAACACAAAAAAAUCAAAUCAGUAAUUUGCGUAAAAUCAACCUUAUAGAAACAAGCAAAAUCAUUGAACAAAAAAGGGAUUUGCGAAAACGUAAUCGAUCUUCUUGUCGGUCUGUUUCAAGAUGUUAUUGUUAAAAAAAUUAGGAGUUCGGUUGGUGAAUGCUGAAUACAUUAAUGACAAAGUAGUGAACAAGUGCGUCAAUGACAUCAACGGUGCUCUUCUCCAGGCCCACGUUCUGUGUCUACUAAUAUCAACAACAGCCUUAUCAAUCUUGAAGGAGCCCCUAAACACAAAAGGCGUACCAUCAUUCUACAGGUUUGACCUUGUUAUGCUACUCGAAUUUGUAUAAGAGGAGGUCACCAGAGUUGUAGAGGAGGAAAUCUUUAUCAAUUUAUGGUUUGAAAGAUUUCAUCGACCUUGUUAUAUGAUGCUACUGUCUGGUUGCUUUCCAAUUAGGCUGUGUAUAACGAGCUCUGCAAGAUAUUCGACUCUGGGAAGCCUUCAUUUGCACCGCAAAAAGGGAAACCUAGUGUUAUAUUGUUUGUUGGUUUGCAAGGGUCUGGAAAAACUACAACAUGUACAAAAUAUGCUUAUCACCACCAGAAAAUGGGUUGGAAGCCGGCUCUAGUCUGUGCAGAUACCUCCAGAGCUGGUGCUUUUGAUCAGUUGAAGCAGAAUGCAACAAGAGCUAAAGUUCCUUUUUAUGGAAGGCAUCUGAAUCUAUUAUUUUUAUUGUUAUCUGAUUAUCUCCACACGUUUAGAAGCUUGAUGUUCAUUCUACUAUCUAAUGAUGAUCACAAGAUUAAAGUUAAUUAGCUGACAGCUGCCCAAAAGUGAAUGGUACCUUACUAAGAGCGUCCCUUCCAUGGUAACUGGUACUGAUGCAUGAGAAAAUAUGCGCUGUUAAUAAAGCCUAAAACUUGAUCUCCCUAUAGUUGACUCAAUCUCUCCUGCUACACUUCAACAUCCUACUUCCUAGUCCUCCAUAUCUCAUUUCUAGAUCCUUGUUCAUGUCGUUGAAAGAACUGUGUAAAAUGUUUAUAACUCUGAACUUUUAGCAAUUUUAUAUCUGAAUCUUUCGAAGUAUUAAACAGUAUCCAACUGCGUCGAGUGUGCUUCGUGAGCUAAUGAUAUGAUACUUUGAACAGUGGAACCAUGGAGGGGUACCAAAAAGGUACAGUACAUAAUUAAUCCUUUUAAGUCGAAUUUUCACCCAAAUGGGAAAAGGAGGGGAAAAUGAGAAAGCUAUUCUUGUUGCUGUUAGGCUAAAGGAAUAUACAGUUCACCUGCUUUGAUGGAAUUUACUGUUGUUGUGCAUCUUUCUUAAUAGGACUGAACCUGUGAUUGCUAUACAGAAUCAGACCCAGUGAAAAUAGCUGUGGACGGUGUAGAAAUGUUUAAGAAGGAAAACUGUGAUCUAAUUAUUGUGGAUACCAGUGGGUGCCACAAACAAGAAGCAGCUCUUUUUGAAGAAGUGCAACAAGUUUCUGAAGCAACGAAACCGGAUCUCGUGAUAUUCGUUAUAGAUAGUACUAUUGGACAAGCCGCUUUUGAUCAAGUUCAAGCAUUUCAACAAGGUGUUGCUCUUGGAGCUGUGAUUCUUACUAAGAUGGAUGGCCAUCCAAAAGGAGGUGGUGCCCUGAUUGCAGUUGCUAUUAUGGAAAUGGUCCAAACAUGUAUGAUUUUGAAGUAUUUGACGUUGAACCAUUUGUGAACGGUCUUAUAGGCAUGGAUCACUUGUCUGGAUUGGCGACCACGACAUGGGAUACGGUCUCAAUGGAUCCCGAGCUUUUUCUGAAGUAUUCAAAAGGACAGUUUACCUUGAGGAUCAUGUAUGAGCAAUUACAGAAAGCGCUUAAAAGGGAUCCCCUUGGACAGGUUGAAAAGGAAUGUCAGUUUGAAUAUAAACGGUAUGUGACAAUGAUGGAGUCCAUGACUGAUGAAGGCAAGUGAGCUACAUUUUAUGGAGUUCAGUUUAAGUUAUUUGUACACCUUAUUCAGAAUGUAGUUUAACCUUUUGAUUUGAAAUUGACAACAACAAACCUGCAUGCAGAAUUGGACAGUCCCAAGCCAAAGAUUAUGACUGCAUCUCGAGUCAUGGAUAUAGCUAAGGCAUCUGGCUGCCUAGUUCAUGAGGUGAUGGAGAUGUUGGAACGAUACAAAUGUUUUACCGUGAUAACCAGCAACAUGAAGGAUCGUCAACAAAUGAGCUGCCGGUCCAGAAACAUGAAUGCACAAAAGAUCCCCAUUGAUUGUUGAAGCAGAAUUUCAACAUAUUAUUGUAGAUAAGUAUCUUAUGUUCUAUCUGUCUAAAAACUUGGUCUUUGUUACAGGGCUCUCUUCCUCAUGACAAUUCAUCCGUUUCCUUAAUUUUAGCAUCGUUUACGUAAA
Capsicum annuum is the source of this 3090-nucleotide RNA transcript. It is a transcript of the gene named signal recognition particle 54 kDa protein 1, with no coding region annotated. The record is from RefSeq and is a predicted model, not a curated record. The transcript has 9 exons. Lineage: Eukaryota; Viridiplantae; Streptophyta; Magnoliopsida; Solanales; Solanaceae.